UUUAAAGGUGCAGCAAAACCGAGACAGAUCGAGCUAGAAUGGGCAGCGACCUCUUACACCACUUCAAAACUCGAGCAAAUAACCGGAAUAUCCGAACUGACUUCGAACAAAGACUCUUUCAAAACCAAAAACUAAAACUGCAUUACGAAUUUCUCAAGUGUAAAAAUCAAUUGCUCAAGAAAACUCCCCACUCUUUCUCCAACCCUUUACAGUGAAUAAGGGUAGAAUAUAUAUAGGCAAAAUUAGGGUUCGGAUUUGGGGGGAAAACGGAUAGAAUUCGAAUAGGAAUGAGACCCACCCCAAAUUCAAACUUCAAAAUCUUUCACCAUUAAAGAAAGACAUACUUUUUCCUGCAAAUUCAACCCAUUCCGAAAGAGGAAAGGGCGAGAUGGGCGCCCGGGAUCGAUUCAUUCGUCCUUGGGCGCGACGUGGAGUAAUCUCAUGGCUACAAGGACUGAGACGUGGCUUGGUGCUCUGCUGCAGGUACAAAUUGGAAAGGGACAUUGAGGAAGAAGACAAGAAAAAUGCAGAGUACUGCUUGCUUGCUACUGCUUUUCCGUCUGCCUCCGCUUGCUUCCGUGAAUUAAAUCGUUGGAAUUUGACGCGUAAUGUUGUUGAUAUGAAUGUUG
RNAcentral lists this long non-coding RNA (629 nucleotides) under Solanum tuberosum (potato). RNAcentral's name for it is "long non-coding RNA (STUB_LNC003412)". The record is from RNAcentral. Lineage: Eukaryota; Viridiplantae; Streptophyta; Magnoliopsida; Solanales; Solanaceae.